CUUCACCCUGAGUUGGAGAAGGGGACUAUCCAGGUGUGAUAACACAAACAUAAAAAAGGUAAGAAAUAUGUAUAUUAUCAGUUAGAAAUUGUGAGAACAAAAAUUUGAUUUUAAGUCAGAACAAGCUACAGAUCUAGCAAAGCUAAAACACAUAACUUUCAGUAAAAUGUUGAUUCAGACAUUUCAAGAAAGAGAAAUUACUGUCCCUAAGUUUUAGAAGAUCCUAGUAUAGUGAGUUACCUUUCCAGGAAAUUACUCUGUUUAAUUGUGUGCCUUUCAGUAGUUAUACCAAGUGGAUUUUAGUCUUGUUCAUUAAUUCGUUCAGCUUCAGUGAACAAAUCAACUGCAUUUUAAUCAAAGCCCAAAGGCAUUGCUCCGUCCAGAAUUUACCUAUUAAGUUUUAUUCAUUGAAUAAGAUUUCCCAGGCAAAUCCCAGAUUGAUCAACUUGUUCGGGUGCAGUUUUAAAGGCAUUCAAUUUGCUCAAAAUCUUUAAUACACAAGACUAUUGGAAAGAUAUCUAUGGACAAAUAAUCUAGUGCUUUGGUCCUCUUUGAACCAUAUUUAAUUAAGUACCUAUAAAAACGAGUGGUAGUUAACAGGCGCAUGCACCCUAUUAACAUAUAUGUGUUACACAAAUAUAUAAUGAAUACAAUGCUAUAUUUUUAGACACAAACUUCUAUGAAAGAACAAUCAUAAAUGGCCUGUGAACCAUUGUGUCACUGAAUGCUCCAUUUGUUAUUUAGUUUAGGUGAUGAUAAAAUGACAAUGCCACAUCUGCAUAAGCCGUGUAACACCAAAUUGGAAAGCUCUUAAUUUUCAUUUUUAAUUACCUUCUUUCUACAGCAAUUAUGGAGAAUUUCAACAUUCUGUGGGGGAUGGUGUUCUUAACUCUUUGUAUUAACCAGUGCCAUUCACAAGGUGAGUAUAUGUUAUUUUACCAAGUACUUAUACAAUGUCAGUAGAUACUAGUAUAAUGGGCAAUAACCACUUUAGGUAAGUAUGUGUUUUAAUUCACAUCUGUAUGUUUAUUCCUAUACAGCAGUUGCUGUUUGCUGCUACUCCCCAUACGUUUACCCAUCUCCUUUUAGAGGAAUACUGGAUGAACACCUCUCACACACAUUAUGGUAUAAAAGAAAAAGGCCUUCUCAGUUAUAUAUACUGUGAAUUAAAACACAUACUUACCUAAAGUGGUUAUUGCCCAUUAUACUAGUAUCUACUGACAUAUAUAUUUCCCCGCCUUCCAUUUCAUCAUAACUCUACUGAAUACUCCCUGCCAAACUCAUCCCCAAAUGAUAUCAGCAUAUGUUGUCUCACUGUUAAUUUAUAGAUAACAUGUCUAAAUUAAGUAAUUGAUAAGUGACUUAAAAAAAAAAAAAAGUAUCCAAAGCAGUUUUAAUUUCUUUAAGGUUAAACCACCUCAACCUCCAUAAGACUUAUGGUAGUAGACAGGGAAAUCUACAAUUUAGUGGGUUAUUUUCAUUUAGCAGAUAGCUAGAGAAUUUCUGACUUACGACUUGGGGAUUGAGCAUUGCCUGGGUCUCUUUCAAUAGAGUUCUUUUUGAUCUUAUUAGUGUUUCUUCAAUAAAAGGUCCUUCUUUUGAAAAAAAAAAAAAAGUAAUGCACAUUUGGUGUUAGAAGUACAGUAACAAAUCAAAUCAUGUUAUCUGUUCUCAUCAACCUAGGAUUUUUUUUCUGUGGGGGAACAGCUUUUUACUAAGACAAUCUGGGGCUUCCUUAGAGAGCAUACUUAAAGGGACACUCCUGCCCAAAUAUCAAAUAAAUAAAAUCACUGUUUAGUAGAUAUUUAAAGUUUUUAUAAAAAUGUUAACAUGUCAUAAACUUGUAAACAAAUGUAAUAGCAAUAAUAGGAAAAAAAAAAAAAGGGACAGUGGAAGGGGGGAAAUAACAUGCAUGUUAAAUAUACAUACCUUAACAUUUGAAAUGCCUAAACAUAUUUUAAUGAUAUGCAGUAUUGCAUCCACAAUGACCUUUACCCGUAAACAAACAUAUAACCAAUAAUUAUUUUUUAAUUAAUAUGAAAAAAUAAACAUUUCAACUUCUUGACAAUAAUUUAUCUAUACAAUGUUCCUUUUCCAAGUUUGUCCUAAUUGAGCAUAAAGAGAUGAUUUCCAGUGGCUAGCUCAUAAUUUUUUUUUUCAAUAGACAUAGAAAGGAUUUCCCUCUCGUAGGGGUAUUUCAGCAUUGCGGUAACACAGAAGUUGCUGCUAUUAAAAGAACACUCCACUACCCAAAUACAAAUAAAUAAAAAUCAAUGUUUCAUUGGAGUUAUAUCUAAAUACAGCUUGCAAAAAAUGCAGAUCUCUUGUCUUCUGCCUUUGUAAACCCUCCCCUUCCAACCCCACCCAGACUUUCUCUGGGUGUCCAAUCAAACUUGCCAAUACAGCUCAGUGAGAAGUCUUUGCAAGGCAGGUGCUCUCAGUAAUUGCUGCCUUUUGUGUUCAGUGCAAAUAAACUAACCAAACCAGGAGCUGUUUUCUGUUUGAAAAUGCAGGGCAGUAUAAUUUAUAAAAAGUGUCAGUUUCUAUUUAAAAUCUGCAAUUUUUCCCAAAAUGAAAAAAAAAAAAAAGAGAACACACUAGUCACACAUAAAAGCUUCCAGCAAGCUGAAGUGUUUUAUUGGUUUGUAGUGUCCCGUUAAAAUAUGCAAGAUUACAUUUUUCCUGAUUUACUAAAUCAUCUCAGAACCAAUUUAAAUAAAGGAUAGUAUUCAACAAGAGAGCCACAAUUUGAAUAGAUGUGCGAACAUCUUUCCAGAAAGAUUUUCCCUUGUGCAUACCCACCAUGUUACCCAGUCCUCCACAGUAUCUCCAGCAAUUAUUGGAAGCAUCUGGGUACAUUUGCUGUAAUCUGGCUGGAAUUGAUACCAUCUACAUAUAAUUUUAACAUUUCUGGCAAAGCUGCUUAGACAUGUCAGUUAGUGAAUUGGAUUUUGACAUAAAAUGCAGUGCAACCAGAAUGUUUACAAGGGUCAAUUAAUACAUUGACAUAAAAAAUCUUGUAUUUUUGUUAUUCACUCAUUAUGUUUUCUUGACCACCUGUAUGCAAGACCAAUUCAGCACACAUAUAAGCAAUAUAUAUGCUUCAAUGUGAUCAAAGUUCCAGUUUAACUCUUCAAAUUCAGUGUGUCAACACUUGUACUGUAUCUACUCUUAAAGUAAAUUUGAUCUACACACACCUUCCACUGCACUAAUCAUUGUGUUUUCUAUUUUAUUUUUCAGCCCUUAGUAAGUAUCCAACUUUCAAGAUUCAGUGAUACUGGUUUGUUGCUCUUAUUUUGAAAAAAGUGC
Molecule: non-coding RNA, 3309 nt
Organism: Pelobates cultripes (western spadefoot toad)
Lineage: Eukaryota; Metazoa; Chordata; Amphibia; Anura; Pelobatidae
Source: the annotation of a GenBank genome assembly